UACAGAGGGGGCAAGCGUUGUUCGGAAUUACUGGGCGUAAAGGGCGCGUAGGCGGCCUUCUAAGUCGAACGUGAAAUCCCUGGGCUCAACCCAGGAACUGCGUCCGAUACUGGAAGGCUUGAAUCCGGGAGAGGGAUGCGGAAUUCCAGGUGUAGCGGUGAAAUGCGUGGAUAUCUGGAGGAACACCGGUGGCGAAGGCGGCAUCCUGGACCGGUAUUGACGCUGAGGCGCGAAAGCCAGGGGAGCAAACGGG
Molecule: ribosomal RNA, 253 nt
Filed under: uncultured bacterium
Lineage: Bacteria
Description: partial 16S ribosomal RNA
Rfam family: Bacterial small subunit ribosomal RNA
Source: RNAcentral